RNAcentral lists this ribosomal RNA (1397 nucleotides) under uncultured bacterium. RNAcentral's name for it is "16S ribosomal RNA". It matches the Rfam family "Bacterial small subunit ribosomal RNA". The record is from RNAcentral.
GAUGAACGCUGGCGGCGUGGAUAAGGCAUGCAAGUCGAACGCUCCGAUUUCGGUCGGAGAGUGGCAAACGGGUUAGUAACACGUAACUAUCUGCCCGAUACUCAGGCAUAACUUAGAGAAAUCUAAGCUAAUUCCUGAUAGUCCCUGCUUCGGUAGGGUAAAGGCGCAAGCCGGUAUCGGAUGAGGUUGCGGCCUAUCAGCUUGUUGGUGAGGUAAUAGCUCACCAAGGCUAUGACGGGUAGGGGGUGUGAGAGCAUGGCCCCCAACAAGGGCACUGAGACACGGGCCUUACUCCUACGGGAGGCAGCAGUCGAGAAUCUUCCGCAAUGGGCGAAAGCCUGACGGAGCGACGCCGCGUGCUUGAAGAAGCCUUAAGGUGUAAAGAGCUUUUCUGGAGGAAUAACCCCGUUUUUAAGAAAGCGGGGUGAAGGUACUCCAGGAAUAAGGAGCCUCUAAACUCGUGCCAGCAGAGGCGGUAAUACGAGUGCUCCAAGCGUUAUCCGGAUUCACUGGGCGUAAAGCGUCUGUAGGCGGUCAGAAAAGUUUUUGGUUAAAGCUCAGGGCUUAACCUUGAGAAUGCCAAAAAUACUCUUUGACUAGAGGGUGCCAGGGGUUGUUGGAACCGACGGUGUAGGGGUGAAAUCCGUUGAUAUCGUCGGGAACACCAAAAGCGAAGGCAUUCAACUGGGGCACCCUGACGCUGAGAGACGAAAGCGUGGGGAGCAAAAAGGAUUAGAUACCCUUGUAGUCCACGCCGUAAACGAUGGACACUGGCUAUUGUAAGUGUCGACCUUGCAGUGGCGAAGCUAACGCGUUAAGUGUCCCGCCUGGGAAGUACAACGGCAACGUUGAAACUCAAAGGAAUAGACGGGGAUCCACACAAGCGGUGGACCAUGUGGCUUAAUUCGACAACAAGCGAGGAACCUUACCAGGACUUGACAGAUAGUGAACCCUGAUGAAAGUUAGGGCACCACAAGGACACUAGUCCAGGUGCUGCAUGGUUGUCGUCAGCAGGUGGCUUGAGUUGCUCCCUUAAAUGGGGUAACCUGCGCAACCCCUACUCUAUGUUUUAAUUGUCAUAGAGAACUGCCCGAGACAAUCGGGAGGAAGGCGGGGAUGACGCCAAAUCAGCAUGGCCCUUAUGUCCUGGGCUGCACACGUGGUACAAUGGGGCCGACAACGAGUUGUGAAGCGGUAACGUGGAACCAAUCUCUUAAACGGUCUCUCAGUUCGGAUUGAGGUCUGCAAUUUGACCUCAUGAAGCCGGAAUCGCUAGUAAUCGCUAAUCAGCAUGUAGCGAUGAAUAUGUUCCUGGAUCUUGUACUCACCGCCCGUCACAUCAGGAAAGCUAGCAAUACCCGAAGUCCGCUCUGGCGGCCUAAGGUAAGGUUAGUGAU